This 74-nucleotide transfer RNA is filed under the name Paenirhodobacter populi. RNAcentral's name for it is "Sinirhodobacter sp. 07D10-4-3 tRNA-Gln". It matches the Rfam family "tRNA". Rfam says of the family: Transfer RNA (tRNA) molecules are approximately 80 nucleotides in length. Their secondary structure includes four short double-helical elements and three loops (D, anti-codon, and T loops). Further hydrogen bonds mediate the characteristic L-shaped molecular structure. tRNAs have two regions of fundamental functional importance: the anti-codon, which is responsible for specific mRNA codon recognition, and the 3' end, to which the tRNAs corresponding amino acid is attached (by aminoacyl-tRNA synthetases). tRNAs cope with the degeneracy of the genetic code in two manners: having more than one tRNA (with a specific anti-codon) for a particular amino acid; and 'wobble' base-pairing, i.e. permitting non-standard base-pairing at the 3rd anti-codon position. Lineage: Bacteria; Pseudomonadati; Pseudomonadota; Alphaproteobacteria; Rhodobacterales. The record is from RNAcentral.
UGCCCCCUCGUCUAGCGGCAGGACGCCUGACUCUGACUCAGGAAACUAUGGUUCGAAUCCAUGGGGGGCAGCCA